Pelobates cultripes (western spadefoot toad) is the source of this 233-nucleotide non-coding RNA. Lineage: Eukaryota; Metazoa; Chordata; Amphibia; Anura; Pelobatidae. The record is from the annotation of a GenBank genome assembly.
AUUCAGUCUUAUUAUCAGAUGAUAAAUCUUGCUUUAUCAGCACAGACAGUACGUGUCUGCUUUAUAACAGUGAAUUAACUGUGUUAAUAGAAAAAGUAUCAAAGUUAGGUUUGUGAGGAUUCAGUGGUACCAAUAUAUACAAAUAUUUACAAUGAAGGUUCAAAUUAACUAGACUUCUGCAGCAAGGGUCUAGUGUUUCAUUCAUUUUUUCUAUUUCUUUUUACUUAAUGACA